RNAcentral lists this ribosomal RNA (497 nucleotides) under uncultured bacterium. RNAcentral's name for it is "partial 16S ribosomal RNA". It matches the Rfam family "Bacterial small subunit ribosomal RNA", at positions 28 to 507 of the family's 1533-position model. The record is from RNAcentral.
GACGAACGCUGGCGGCGUGCCUAAUACAUGCAAGUCGAGCGCUCAAGCUUGGUACUUGUUCCUACUGGAUGAGCAGCGGACGGGUGAGUAACGCGUGGGGAAUCUGCCUUUGAGCGGGGGACAACAUUUGGAAACGAAUGCUAAUACCGCAUAAAAACUUUAAACACAAGUUUUAAGUUUGAAAGAUGCAAUUGCAUUACUCAAUGAUGAUCUCGCGUCGUCUUAGCUUGUUGGUGAGGUAAAGGCUCUACAAGGCGAAGAAACAUAGCCGAACUGAGAGGGGUGUCCGCCACCAUGGGACGUGGAACCGGCCCAAGCUCCUUCGGGGAGCAGCAAGAAGGAAACUUCGGCAAUGGGCGGAAGGCUGGCCGGGGAACGCCGGGGGAGGGGAGAAGGGUUUCGGGUCGGAAAACUCCGUUGGUAGGGAAGAACGAUGGUUAGAGUUGAAAGCGCAUCAAGUGACGGUAACUACUCAGAAAGCGACGGCUAACUACGUG